GAACGAACGCUGGCGGCAUGCCUAACACAUGCAAGUCGAACGAUGCCUUCGGGCAUAGUGGCGCACGGGUGCGUAACGCGUGGGAAUCUGCCUUUCGGUUCGGAAUAACUCAGGGAAACUUGAGCUAAUACCGGAUAACGUCGCAAGACCAAAGAUUUAUCACCGAAAGAUGAGCCCGCGUAGGAUUAGCUAGUUGGUGAGGUAAAGGCUCACCAAGGCGACGAUCCUUAGCUGGUCGGAGAGGAUGAUCAGCCACACUGGGACUGAGACACGGCCCAGACUCCUACGGGGGGCAGCAGUGGGGAAUAUUGGACAAUGGGCGAAAGCCUGAUCCAGCAAUGCCGCGUGAGUGAUGAAGGCCUUAGGGUUGUAAAGCUCUUUUACCCGGGAAGAUAAUGACGGUACCGGGAGAAUAAGCCCCGGCUAACUCCGUG
Molecule: ribosomal RNA, 434 nt
Filed under: uncultured bacterium
Lineage: Bacteria
Description: partial 16S ribosomal RNA
Rfam family: Bacterial small subunit ribosomal RNA
Source: RNAcentral